GACGAACGCUGGCGGCGUGCUUAACACAUGCAAGUCGAACGGUAAGGCCCUUCGGGGUACACGAGUGGCGAACGGGUGAGUAACACGUGGUGAUCUGCCCUGCACUUCGGGAUAAGCCUGGGAAACUGGGUCUAAUACCGGAUAGGACUCCUGGCUUCAUGGUUGGGGGUGUAAAGCUUUUGCGGUGUGGGAUGGGCCCGCGGCCUAUCAGCUUGUUGGUGGGGUAAUGGCCUACCAAGGCGACGACGGGUAGCCGGCCUGAGAGGGUGACCGGCCACACUGGGACUGAGAUACGGCCCAGACUCCUACGGGAGGCAGCAGUGGGGAAUAUUGCACAAUGGGCGCAAGCCUGAUGCAGCGACGCCGCGUGAGGGAUGACGGCCUCGGUUGUAACUCUUUCAAUAGGACGAGCGCAAGUGACGGUACCGUAUAGUAAGAAGGACCGGCCAACUACGUAGCCAGCAGCCG
RNAcentral lists this ribosomal RNA (468 nucleotides) under uncultured bacterium. RNAcentral's name for it is "bacterial SSU rRNA". It matches the Rfam family "Bacterial small subunit ribosomal RNA", at positions 28 to 517 of the family's 1533-position model. The record is from RNAcentral.